AGAGGCUAAUAUGGAACAGGAACUUCAAGAUCAGAUAAAAGCCCUUGUUGCAAAUGAACCUGGUGUUCUAGGAGCUGUUUGCUUUAACAAGCAAGGGCUUGUGCUCUGCAAAGAAGGCAGUGUCACAGACUCACUAGCGUACAAUAUUUCUCUCCUAGCAAAGCACAGCGCUUCCCUCGAGGAUGCAGGGACAGUUCCUGUCACCUGCAUUGAGUUCAGUACCCUCAAAAUUGUGAUGAAGCAAACAGAAAAAGUGGUGUUUGCUAUAAUAUCUGAAUGUGUCUGACAGAGUAAAACGGACUUGGGUAUUAUGUUCAAUGUGGUAAUUAUUCAAAUUCAAUCUAUUGCUUGAAUCUUGUGAAGGAGAAUAUUUGAUUUAUGAAAUACGAGCAAAUCUGAAUAUGCUUGAUAAUGCAAGUUAUUUUAAUGACUGAUUGAAGAGCAAAUCAAUUCAAUUGUCAAAUUAAUUAUGUCUUAGAUUUGUGCUAUUAAUUAUAGCUAUUAAACAAAAAGCUUCAAUUUCCAAAAUGUAUCAAUCGAAUAAACCAAUAAUUGAAUAUAAACUUGUAUAGUAGUAACUAGUAAAGAACUAAAUGCAGGUAAUUGUUAAACUUUAACCUUUAAAAUAAGUUUUCAAUGUAACCUCCAUGAGCCAGGGUUUUUGUUUACGUUUUUGCAGAUGAUUAUUGAUUAUGUGUACAGCGAAAAACAUGUUUUGUUGUGUUUGGUUCAGCUUUAAAAAAUUGACGUUGCUAUAAUAUUUUGAUUU
Bolinopsis microptera is the source of this 769-nucleotide long non-coding RNA. RefSeq lists it as uncharacterized. The transcript is spliced from 2 exons. The record is from RefSeq and is a predicted model, not a curated record. NCBI's taxonomy places the organism in Eukaryota, Metazoa, Ctenophora, Tentaculata, Lobata, Bolinopsidae.